This 500-nucleotide ribosomal RNA is filed under the name uncultured bacterium. RNAcentral describes it as "partial 16S ribosomal RNA". It matches the Rfam family "Bacterial small subunit ribosomal RNA", at positions 28 to 523 of the family's 1533-position model. The record is from RNAcentral.
AUUGAACGCUGGCGGCAUGCUUUACACAUGCAAGUCGAACGGCAGCGCGGGCUUCGGCCUGGCGGCGAGUGGCGAACGGGUGAGUAAUGCAUCGGAACGUGCCCAGUAGUGGGGGAUAGCCCGGCGAAAGCCGGAUUAAUACCGCAUACGACCUGAGGGUGAAAGCGGGGGACCGAAAGGCCUCGCGCUAUUGGAGCGGCCGAUGUCGGAUUAGCUAGUUGGUGGGGUAAAGGCUUACCAAGGCGACGAUCCGUAGCUGGUCUGAGAGGACGGCCAGCCACAAGGGGAAGGGGACACGGCCCAGACUCCGACGGGAGGCAGCAGUGGGGAAUUUUGGACAACGGGGGCAACCCUGAUCCAGCCAUGCCGCGGGCGGGAAGAAGGCCUUCGGGUUGUAAACCGCUUUUGUUCGGGAAGAAAUCCUCUGGGCCAAUACCCCGGGGGGAUGACGGUACCGGAAGAAUAAGCACCGGCUAACUACGUGCCAGCAGCCGCCGUAA